Molecule: ribosomal RNA, 497 nt
Filed under: uncultured bacterium
Lineage: Bacteria
Description: partial 16S ribosomal RNA
Rfam family: Bacterial small subunit ribosomal RNA
Source: RNAcentral
GAUGAACGCUGGCGGCGUGCCUAAUACAUGCAAGUCGAGCGAACAGACGAGGAGCUUGCUCCUCUGACGUUAGCGGCGGACGGGUGAGUAACACGUGGAUAACCUACCUAUAAGACUGGGAUAACUUCGGGAAACCGGAGCUAAUACCGGAUAAUAUAUUGAACCGCAUGGUUCAAUAGUGAAAGACGGUUUUGCUGGCACUUAUAGAUGGAUCCGCGCCGCAUUAGCUAGUUGGGAAGUUAACGGCUUACCAAGGCAACGAUGCGUAGCCGACCUGAGAGGGUGAUCGGCCACACGGGAACUGAGACACGGUCCAGACUCCUACGGGAGGCAGCAGACGGGACUCUGCCGCCGUGGGCGCGCGCCUGGCGGCGCGGCGCCGCGUGUGUGAUGAAGGUCUUCGGAUCGUAAAACUCUGUUAUUAGGGAAGAACCCCUGUGUCCGUCGCUGUGCCCGUCUUGCCGGUCCCUGGUCCGAAAGCCCCGGCUCCCUACGUG